Molecule: transfer RNA, 73 nt
Rfam family: tRNA
About the family: Transfer RNA (tRNA) molecules are approximately 80 nucleotides in length.
CGGAUCGUAGCGCAGUGGCCGACGCGCUCGGCUGUAGACCGAGAACACGUAGGUUCGACUCCUACCGAUCCGA